CACGAAUGGCGUAAUGAUGGCCAGGCUGUCUCCACCCGAGACUCAGUGAAAUUGAACUCGCUGUGAAGAUGCAGUGUACCCGCGGCAAGACGGAAAGACCCCGUGAACCUUUACUAUAGCUUGACACUGAACAUUGAGCCUUGAUGUGUAGGAUAGGUGGGAGGCUUUGAAGUGUGGACGCCAGUCUGCAUGGAGCCGGCCUUGAAAUACCACCCUUUAAUGUUUGAUGUUCUAACGUGGACCCGUGAUCCGGGUUGCGGACAGUGUCUGGUGGGUAGUUUGACUGGGGCGGUCUCCUCCUAAAGAGUAACGGAGGAGCACGAAGGUUGGCUAAUCCUGGUCGGACAUCAGGAGGUUAGUGCAAUGGCAUAAGCCAGCUUGACUGCGAGCGUGACGGCGCGAGCAGGUGCGAAAGCAGGUCAUAGUGAUCCGGUGGUUCUGAAUGGAAGGGCCAUCGCUCAACGGAUAAAAGGUACUCCGGGGAUAACAGGCUGAUACCGCCCAAGAGUUCAUAUCGACGGCGGUGUUUGGCACCUCGAUGUCGGCUCAUCACAUCCUGGGGCUGAAGUAGAUCCCAAGGGUAUGGCUGUUCGCCAUUUAAAGUGGUACGCGAGCUGGGUUUAGAACGUCGUGAGACAGUUCGGUCCCUAUCUGCCGUGGGCGCUGGAGAACUGAGGGGGGCUGCUCCUAGUACGAGAGGACCGGAGUGGACGCAUCACUGGUGUUCGGGUUGUCAUGCCAAUGGCACUGCCCGGUAGCUAAAUGCGGAAGAGAUAAGUGCUGAAAGCAUCUAAGCACGAAACUUGCCCCGAGAUGAGUUCUCCCUGAGACUUUAGGUCUCCUGAAGGAACGUUGAAGACGACGACGUUGAUAGGCCGGGUGUGUAAGCGCAGCGAUGCGUUGAGCUAACCGGUACUAAUGAACCGUGAGGCUUAACCUU
RNAcentral lists this ribosomal RNA (940 nucleotides) under Salmonella enterica. RNAcentral's name for it is "partial 23S ribosomal RNA". It matches the Rfam family "Bacterial large subunit ribosomal RNA", at positions 1991 to 2925 of the family's 2925-position model. The record is from RNAcentral. Lineage: Bacteria; Pseudomonadati; Pseudomonadota; Gammaproteobacteria; Enterobacterales; Enterobacteriaceae.